AAUUGAAUUCUGAAAAAUAAAUAACCUCAAUACAAACAACACACACACGCCUCGGGUAAUAGCGGCCUACUCGAUUUGUCGCAAAUUUUUGCAUGCGACAUUUUGUCGUAUUGGAACCACAACAAACAAAUGACAUUUUAAAUUUUGCAAAAUCAAUGAAUUAGAAU
Bradysia coprophila is the source of this 167-nucleotide long non-coding RNA. The record is from RefSeq and is a predicted model, not a curated record. Lineage: Eukaryota; Metazoa; Arthropoda; Insecta; Diptera; Sciaridae.